UGCGUAGGUGGUUAGGUAAGUCGGAUGUGAAAGCCCAAGGCUCAACUUUGGAACUGCAUCCGAUACUGCUUGACUAGAGUGCAGGAGGGGAGAGCGGAAUUCUUGGUGUAGCGGUGAAAUGCGUUGAUAUCAAGAAGAACACCGGUGGCGAAGGCGGCUCUCUGGAAUGUUACUGACACUGAGGCACGAAAGUUGGGGGAGCAAACAGGAUUAGAUACCCGAGUAGUCC
RNAcentral lists this ribosomal RNA (229 nucleotides) under uncultured bacterium. RNAcentral's name for it is "partial 16S ribosomal RNA". It matches the Rfam family "Bacterial small subunit ribosomal RNA", at positions 568 to 796 of the family's 1533-position model. The record is from RNAcentral.